Long non-coding RNA from Leptidea sinapis, 1051 nucleotides. RefSeq lists it as uncharacterized. The transcript has 4 exons. Lineage: Eukaryota; Metazoa; Arthropoda; Insecta; Lepidoptera; Pieridae. The record is from RefSeq and is a predicted model, not a curated record.
UAACACUGUUAUUCGAACAAGUUGCUCGAAUCCGAACGUCUGACUCAACAUGAAGUUAUUUGUAGCUGCAUUUAUAUUGUGUUAUUCAAUAAUAGUGUUAGCACUUACAGAAUUAGAAGCUCCAAAAAUUAUAGAUGUAACCGCCCUGGAACCUGCUGGGAUUCACAUCAAAUGGCAUGUUAUACCCUACUUUGCGACAGACCCAAUAACUGGCUAUUUGGUGAGAAUCUGGAGAGUAGAAGAAUCUACACAGGGGCAUUUUACUUUGAUCAACGGUGAUGAAACUCCAGGUCUGAUGUCAAUUGUACGGGUGUUGGAGCCUUACGACCUUGAAAAACCUCCAAAAAGUAAGCCAAGGACAGUGGUUGUGACAGACGUUAACACAAGAGAAUCAAAAAUUAAUGGUGUUAAAUACAACGAACUCUAUGAGGUUCGUGUAAGUGCCUGCAAAAAAAGCGAAGAAGGACCAAUGUCGAAACCGGAAAGAAUCAAAAUCAUUCGAGGAACAGGUUACUAUACAGUUGUACAGAAGAACUCGCAAGACGCUUGCAAAGUAUCUGUCGCUUAUAACACUACAUUGGAUGAAGAAAAUUAUUCUACAAUUGAAACUAUACAUUUCUAAAAUUGCUAUGUUGUCUUGUGGUCUAGGUACCUAGCUAAAUUGAAAAGUUAUUUGUAACUCAGCUAUAUUAUUAAUAUAAUCAAAAAAUUACGUAAAAUAUUAACUCAUAAACUAAUUACUAGUAGUAAUUACUAUAUUAUUUCACCCUUUUAAUUUUGUAACUUUAUUUUUACAAUUGUAUUGGUACAAUAAAAAAUUUUGGGGAUAUACAUUCUUGUUUUACGGCCGUUCCCAAUAUUAAGUCUAAUCUGUCGAUGGGAUGACGUAUAGCUUACCAGGGAUAGAAGUUUCAAUUCACGCAUCCCAAUAUAAGGCGAUAAGAAUGACUUAUCGGGUAUAUUGGGACAGCUUCAGAUUAUUGACAGCUAAUUACUGACAGUAGAAGGUAGUAAUUUAUCUCUAUCUGUAGAUAGUAUAUUGGGAACGGCC